This is a long non-coding RNA of Sciurus carolinensis (gray squirrel), 496 nucleotides long. RefSeq lists it as uncharacterized. The record is from RefSeq and is a predicted model, not a curated record. NCBI's taxonomy places the organism in Eukaryota, Metazoa, Chordata, Mammalia, Rodentia, Sciuridae. The transcript is spliced from 4 exons.
AUAGAAACAACCCGCUCGCCAACAUGAGGGUGUCAACCGGUCACAAAGAUGGCACACAGAAUACAGUCAAGCAGAAGUAUGGAAGGCACUGGAACUUUUGAUGACCCUGGUAACCCUCCGAAGCAACUAACCUGGGAAUAUCGUUCUUUUAGAGGACAAGGUUAUCUAAAAAGCAGAUUAUGGCAUCUGUCAUGAGGAGAAACAUGAAACAUGAAGGAAAAUUCUCUUGCAUAUUGAAAUACUGAGAAAAGAGCAGCAUUUAUUGUUUUAGAGGAAAGAGAACAAGAUUCACAGCAAAGAAACAUCUUUGAGUUUCAAUAAGACUUUUUCAUUUUAAAAUCUAUAAUAUGAGGGUAUAAUGUUUAUUUCACAAACAACAUAACUGAGAAAAACAAGACAAGUCUGGCUAUCUCAUUGCUGAAGAAGUAAAGAUUAUGCAGGUUUGGUCGCCAGCUGGUGGCGCUAGUGGGAGAAGAUGGAAACUUUAGGAGUUGGG